UACGUAGGGGGCAAGCGUUGUCCGGAAUCAUUGGGCGUAAAGAGCGUGUAGGUGGCUCGGUAAGGCCGCUGUGAAAGUCCAGGGCUCAACCCUGGAAAGCCGGUGGAAACUGUCGAGCUCGAGUCCGGAAGAGGCGAGUGGAAUUCCUGGUGUAGCGGUGAAAUGCGCAGAUAUCAGGAGGAACACCAAUGGCGAAGGCAGCUCGCUGGGACGGUACUGACACUGAGACGCGAAAGCGUGGGGAGCAAACGGG
Molecule: ribosomal RNA, 253 nt
Filed under: uncultured bacterium
Lineage: Bacteria
Description: partial 16S ribosomal RNA
Rfam family: Bacterial small subunit ribosomal RNA
Source: RNAcentral